UACGUAUGGAGCAAGCGUUAUCCGGAUUUACUGGGUGUAAAGGGUGCGUAGGUGGCGAGGCAAGUCAGAUGUGAAAUACCGGGGCUCAACCCCGGGGCUGCAUUUGAAACUGUCUUGCUGGAGUACAGGAGAGGCAGGCGGAAUUCCUAGUGUAGCGGUGAAAUGCGUAGAUAUUAGGAGGAACACCAGUGGCGAAGGCGGCCUGCUGGACUGUUACUGACACUGAGGCACGAAAGCGUGGGGAGCAAAC
This 250-nucleotide ribosomal RNA is filed under the name uncultured prokaryote. RNAcentral describes it as "partial 16S ribosomal RNA". It matches the Rfam family "Bacterial small subunit ribosomal RNA", at positions 524 to 773 of the family's 1533-position model. The record is from RNAcentral.